GAUGAACGCUGGCGGCGUGCCUAACACAUGCAAGUCGAACGGAUGGUCGUCGCAAGACGGUUGUCAGUGGCGCACGGGUGAGUAACACGUAGCUGACGUGCCCGCAAGCGCGGGAUAACGAGCGGAAACGUUCGCUAAGACCGCAUAAGCUCCCGGUGGUUAGAGGACGGGGAGAAAAGGCGCAAGCGGCUUGCGGAGCGGGCUGCGGACCAUCAUGUAGUUGGGGGGUAAAGGCCUACCAAGCCGACGACGGAUAGGGGGUC
This 263-nucleotide ribosomal RNA is filed under the name uncultured bacterium. RNAcentral describes it as "partial 16S ribosomal RNA". It matches the Rfam family "Bacterial small subunit ribosomal RNA", at positions 28 to 292 of the family's 1533-position model. The record is from RNAcentral.